Molecule: ribosomal RNA, 268 nt
Filed under: uncultured bacterium
Lineage: Bacteria
Description: partial 16S ribosomal RNA
Rfam family: Bacterial small subunit ribosomal RNA
Source: RNAcentral
UACAGAGGGUGCGAGCGUUGUCCGGAAUCACUAGGGCGUAAAGGGCGCGUGAGGUGGCGCGACAAGUCAGUCGGGUAGAAAGCUACGGGCGUGCUUAACGCCGAAGUCGGCCACUGAGUACUGGUCGGGCUGGAGCACUGUAGAGGCAGAUGGAAAUUCCGGGUGUAGCGGUGAAAUGCGCAGAUAUCAGGAAGAACACCCGUGGCUAAGGCGGACUCUCGUAGUACGGUACUGACGCUGAGACGCGAAAGCGUGGGGAGCGAACAGG